Molecule: ribosomal RNA, 444 nt
Filed under: uncultured bacterium
Lineage: Bacteria
Description: SSU rRNA
Rfam family: Bacterial small subunit ribosomal RNA
Source: RNAcentral
AGAGCGAACGCUGGCGGCAGGCUUAACACAUGCAAGUCGAGCGCCCCGCAAGGGGAGCGGCAGACGGGAGAGUAACACGUGGGAACGUACCUUUCGGUUCGGAACAACCCAGGGAAACUUGGGCUAAUACCGGAUAAGCCCUUACGGGGAAAGAUUUAUCGCCGAAAGAUCGGCCCGCGUCUGAUUAGCUAGUUGGUGGGGUAAUGGCCCACCAAGGCGACGAUCAGUAGCUGGUCUGAGAGGAUGAUCAGCCACAUUGGGACUGAGACACGGCCCAAACUCCUACGGGAGGCAGCAGUGGGGAAUAUUGGACAAUGGGCGCAAGCCUGAUCCAGCCAUGCCGCGUGAGUGAUGAAGGCCCUAGGGUUGUAAAGCUCUUUUGUGCGGGAAGAUAAUGACGGUACCGCAAGAAUAAGCCCCGGCUAACUUCGUGCCAGCAGCCGC